Molecule: long non-coding RNA, 10659 nt
Filed under: Homo sapiens (human)
Lineage: Eukaryota; Metazoa; Chordata; Mammalia; Primates; Hominidae
Description: non-protein coding lnc-HHIPL1-1:3
Source: RNAcentral
CCCGGCGGUUCAAGUUUCUGCGCCCGGAGGACGCGGCCUUAGCCAAUCCCAGGGCUACAGGGCGCUUUUAAAAUGCAGGUACGGCUGCGGGGAGGGGGACGGUGGGAAAGGUAGGGCCGGGCUUCCCUUAAAGGCGACGCGCGAAAAUAGCAGUCGAGCCCCCUCCCCGGCCCGCGUCCCCGGUCCUCUUCCCUCUCCCCAGAUAAACAAAUACCCACGAUCCGGGCGACGGCGCCCCUUCUCCCUCCCGGGGGCACCAGAGUUCAGGGCAGUCGGAGACACAGCGAACAAUAGGACUGUGACAUGGGGGUCGCUCUUCCCCGCAGCAGGGCGGCUCUUUGUCCCCUUCCCUGCCCCCAGGCUCCUCCGCCCCCGUCCCCACCCGGGUCCCCUGCCGGAGCACGCGGCGGGGCUGCGUCUCCACUCCUAGCCCAGGGCUGAGCUAAACGCUGGCGUCCGCGCCCCUGCAGGGCCAGGGCCUUGCCAGCCGCGUCCCGCAGCGCGGUCAGUACUCUCUGCCCCGAUGGGGCGAGAGCUCCGGGAACCUGCCCCCUGCCCGGAGCGGCGCUCGGAGCCCCGCUCCACCUCCGCUCACUCGACCGCUAAAUCCCUGGGAUUCGGGAGAUAAUCUGCAAUUCGCGGGGUGGAAACCACUGGGAAGGGUGGGAAGGUCUCCCACUGGGGCCUGAACGCCGGGGUCCGGGGGCGCCGAGCCGGCCACAGAACUCCCCACCGGCGGCCUCGCGGGACCCCCGGGCUUCCCACUGCCUGUAAGUCUGUCUCGUUAUCCUCCGGUCCCCAAAGCGCAUUUACGGCGCGUCUACCGCCAGCAGGCGGGGCGGGGCGGGGCGGGGGGGGGUCCCUCCCCCGGAACCUGCAACGAGAUCAAAUCCGCGCACGCGACAGUGAGCGGCCCACGGCCUGGAGCGCGCGCCCGCGCAGCAGCUGAUGCCCCAUUUACAGUUGCUAAGCCGUUCAUUCAGCUGUGUACUCAGCGCCUACUCGCCGCGGGGCCUGCUCCAGCCCCGGGGGAUUCUGCAGGGCACCGAACUGCCCUCUGCGGGGGACUUGGCGUCCUGGGAGCAGGAUGGGGAGAAGAUAGACGAGCUAGAUCAGGAUGAGACUUGUCUUAAGUGCUGUGCGGGGCAUUAAGUCGAGCUGCUGUCAUAGAAAGCAUAAUCAGUUGCUUUAGAUCCAGCGGUCAGGGAGGUGGGGAGGCACAUCUAAGCUGAAGUCUGAUUGGCAAGGUACAAAGAUAAGGGGAAGGGCAUUCCAGGCAGCAGGAACAGCCAGUGCCAAGGCCCUAGGGCUGGCCUGUUACAGACCUGUUCCAAGAAGGCCAGUGGGGCUGGGGGUGGGCCAGGGAAGAGGCGUGAGAGCUGAGGUCAGAGGUCAGAGGGGCCAGAUCAUGUAUGAUUCCAAGACAGCUGGGGAGGCAGUGGGGUUUUAGCAGGGAAGCAACAUGACCUGGUUUACCUUUUUAAGAGGCUCACCCUGGCCCACAUGUUGAGAAGAGAUGGAGGGGAGUACACAGAGAGGUCCAGAUUCAAUAUCUCAUCUCCCACCCGUUCGCCACUCUCUCCAGACAGAUGGUCAGGGGAGGGUGGUGGGGAGAGGAUGGGCUGAGCACAGCUUCCAAGGUUAAACCCCAGGGAUGCUGAGGGUCUCCCAGGCCCUGCCCAAGAGAACCAGCUCCUGAGGGGAGGGGACAUCCUCCCCUCUGAGGCACUGCUCUGCUGGUCCAGCACAGCUCAGUUUGGGUUUAGAGAGGGAGGGGCUUUCAGCUUCUGCCUGGGGGAGCUGCAGGUCUGUCUCAACCCCCAGGAAGCCAUAUUAACUUCAAGGAGCUCCUUGCAGGCUCCCUGCAGAAUGAAGCCUGUGCACAGAGUUGCUCCCUGGAGAUCGAAGCGUAAACGUUGGAUACACCAUAGGAAAAACCCACCAGCUCACCAGGGAAGUUGCUGAGACAGCACUGUGCUUUGUGAGAACCCCCUCCCCGUUCGUGCAUGGCUCCUGGUGGUUCCUGGGGCCUGUUAUCUCUGCCCCCUGAUCCUCCAGAGCUGGCAGCUUCCGCUGAACUUCCAAGAAGAAAGUGAAGCCUCUAUCUAGGUGGGGUUUGUUUGCGUCAUCUACAGGCUGUGUGGACCAAGGACCAAGAGUUCCUCUGUGGAGUCUUGAUAGCUUUGCUCACAUCCUCAGGGUAGAACAAAGACAAGGUGCUAGUGGUGGUGGUACUGGGUGGUUUGAGGGAGGGUCUCUCUGCUCCCCACACCAGGGCUGGGAAUGCUUGGGCAGAACAGGACAGGACCAGAGGAGGUGAGAGGGCCCAGGGCUGAAACAGCGUCCUGAAGGAAAAGGGACUCCCCAGGCCAGAGCCCCCUCCCGGAGGGCCCAUAUCGCAGGGUCCAGCAGUAGGUGCCAUGCCCCCUGGAGUACUCACAGCCCAACAGAACCAGGAUCCCAAAAUGUCAACGUGACUUUGCCUUUUUUUUUUUUUUUUUUUUUUUUUUGGCUAAGACAGGGUCUCACUCUGUCUCCCAGGCUGGAGUGCAGUGGCAUGAUCUUGGCUCAGUGCAGCCUCAACCUCCGGGCUCAAGAGAUCCUCCCACCUCAGCCUCCUGAGUAGCUGGGACCACAGGCACCACCAUGCCUGGCUAUUUUCUUUUCUUUUCUUUUUUCCCCCAUAGAGACAGAGUCUCACUGUGUUUCCCAGGCUGGUCUCAAACUCCUGUGCUCAAGCAAUCCAAUUCUCCUGCCUCAGUGACUUUGCUUCUUAAGCCCCUUGGUCAUGACAACUCUGCUUUGUUAUGAAAACAGUGAAACCAAAUCAUGGUGCACUAACAGUCAUACUGUAGGUGCCCAGGGAAAGUAGCUGUGAGUCUUUUCAAAAUAAAGGUGCCCCACCAACAUUCUACCCCCCUUUUUUUAAAGACUCUCCCAGGAUGUGUGUGUUCAUUUAGAGCCACACACAUUUGUGAGAGCCAGCAGGGGCUGAGAACCGGUACGCUAACACACGGUAGAUGCUAAUACAUGGUAGACAAAAUACUCCAAAACCUAGGGCCUGUGGGGGGAGUACUGGUACAAGCUGGUGACAAGCAGAGUGUGCCCCUCACUUUCAGGGGGAAUGGACUUUCUUACUCUUCUCUAUGGUUGGGGCUGUGAGCUCCAACCCCAGAGGCAGUACCAUUUGGUGUUUGCUGAGUGAAUGUCAAACCUCUCAGUACGUGACAGAUUGAGUCUGAGGCUUCAUUUUGAAGGUGAGGAAAAACAGAGCCCCAGAAGGGAGAUGCCUGGCCCAAGGUCACUUUCAUUCAUUAGCUCACUGAACAUAGAGGAAAUCUAUGAGUAUAUAUGCAUUUAUACACAAACACAUUUAAAUGGGAAUAUAUAUAUACACAUUGCAAUGCAUUGUGGUAAGUACUGCAAAUGAGAAUGGGCAGAACACAUCAUUGUGGGAGCAUGCUCAGGCACUGGGAGUGGCUUCCUAGAGGAGGUGAAUCUUGAAGGAGUUUGUCGUCUUGUGGAGUGGGGAGGAGGCUCCAGGUGGAGGAAGCAGUACAAGCAAAGGCCCAGAGGUGAGCAGGCGAGGGGUGUGGAGAGACACUAUUACACCUUGCAGCUGGGGUAUACAGAAGGGAACAGCAGGGUGGGGAAAGUCGGGAAGAGGUUGAGCGAUGGAGCUGGGCAGAGGAGGGCUUUGUAAGCCUCAGAAGGAAGCUGGACCCUUUCCCUGGGAGCUCUGAUAUCUAAUAAUAAUGGCAAUGACAAUGACAAUAACCAACACCACCUGCCGCUUAUCCUAGACUCAGUAUAUGCCAAUGAUUCUAACCUGUCCUCUUUUGAGGGUUAUAAUAAACCUAUGAGGAGGUGUCAUUAGCCCUUCGAGGAUUGAACAUGGGUUCUUAUUGGCUGGUUGUUUGCCUCCAAGAAGCUCAGCUCAUUGGGCGUGAACUUACAGGCAGUGUUCAGAGGCUUGUGGACACCCAAGGACUCUGGUAUGGCCAACAAAGUGUUUGGUGGUAGCUGAAUCUUCUUCAGGACAGUGAGGCAAUGGUGGCUGACCAGGUCUGGGCCAGACUAUGAGGUAUCAUCCUGAAAGGCUACCAGCAGCAAGAAGUCAGGGUCCACUGAAAAGUGGUUAAGUGUUACUAAUAUGGACAAUGUUGACUGGGCACUUUCUAGGUACCCAGCACUGUGCUAGAGUUCCACAUAGAUUGUCUCACUGACUCCUCACUGAUGCGGUAAGAACCCUCUGUUCCCAUUUUACAGAGUAAGAAACUGAGGCUCACACAGGUUAAGUCACUUGCCCAAGGUCACAUGGCUAGCAAGUGGCUGAACCAGGAUUUGAACCCAGGACCAUCUGAGCUCCAGAGUGUAUCUGACCCCAUAGACUACUGUCUCCCACACCUCAGUUUCCCUUCUCAAGAAGGAGGAAUGGGGUGGAUGCUCUGCGAUGUCUCUUCUGCUGUGACUCUGGUUCUGUGAUGCUGAGUGUCUGCAAGGUGCCUGGACCCAUGUUCACCACCCACUUCCUCCUGCUUCAGGCUUUUCCAUGUUGUGACCAAGCCUCAGUGGCUCUGACGCCUCUGGAUGGCACCUGUGGUCAGAGCUCUCCAGCUAUUUCUACUGAUAGAACACUGCAUGUCAUUAGCUCAGUCUCCCUGCAACUCUAUCACUGUCUGGGUGGGUGACCCUAGACCAGUCCCUUGUCCUCUCAGAGCCCCAGUAUUCUCAUCCAAGCCCUCCCUGACAGAGCUAGUGUUAAGCACUUGGCAGAGCUCUUGCAAAGCUCUGGGGAGGGGAGCCACGCUUCCUUUCCCAUCCUCUGCACCAGGACUAUCUUCCCAUGAGGAUAUUUCUACCCAUUUUCCAGAGGCAAACACUGAGGUCCAGUGAAACAAGGAUUGUCCAGGAAACCCCAUGCUUGCCCCUGGCAGACUGGGCUACAAAGGAUUCUGGGUAUGGCCCUGGGCUGCCACCUUCUUCCUUUUGGGGUGGGGCCAGCCCAGAAUAUGGGGAUCCUCAAGAACACAGAGUUCCGAGGUCAUGUGUCUCAACUCCCACAUUUAUAGGUGGGGAAACCGCAUGAAGCUGGGACUGCCAGUUUCCCUACAUGCUGGACCGCCAGGGGCAGCAGUGAGAGGGCUAGGGGAGGAUGGGUUCCUUCAUCCCCACUGUUAACCAUCGUGCCAGGCACCUUUCUGGAGCUCAGGAAGUCCGCACUGCACAGGACGGCUGCCUAGAACCGCUGAUGUUGCAAGGCAAGGGUGCAGCUGAAGCCCAAAGGGCCUCACAUGUUGACAAAAAGCCUCAAGUAUAACCUGAUGGCAGUGGGGAGCCACAGAAAGGCUUAGAGCAGAGGAGAGAUCUGGCCAGACUUGUGUGUGAUUAGAAAGCACUCAACAGGAGGUUUGAGGGGAGAUCACUGAGACUAGCAGACAGUGAGAAGGCUUUGAGGCCAGGCAGGCCAGAGCCAGAGCCAAGUGUGAUGGAAAUAAAGAGAUUGAUGGGGGCUGUCAGCAUCUGACCCCUCCCUUUCCAUGACUUCCCAGCCAGAGCCAUGGAAAUUCUCCGCCUGCCCCUUUAGCUGCUGACAUCUCCUCACACCAUCGCCUGAUGGAACAAGACAAGAGGGAGGCUCAACAUACUGGGGAAACUGAGUCAGGGGAGUUCUUUGCAGAGCUGGCUAUUGCCUCAAUGCACUUAAUAUUAUUCUUAUGGUGAACUGGUUCAUAUUACAAAGAACACUGAGAAGCAUAUGCCUGGGAGCCCACCACCCAGACUAAAGUAUUACCACUUCUGCUUUUGAUGCUCCUGCAGCCCCUCCUGGUCACAGGUCCCAGCCUUCCCCGACCCAAGGGUAUCUGGGAAUCUCAGUGUUGUGUUGGUUAUUCCUGUGCUUUCAGCUUACCAUAUUUCUCCCUUAUAAGAUAGUGUUUAGACCAGGCACGGUGGCUCACACCUGUAAUCCCAGCACUUUGGGAGGCCAAGGCAGGUGGAUCACUUGAGGCCCGGAGUUCGAGACCAGCCUGGCUAACAUGACAAAACCCCCAUCUCCAGUGAAAAUACAAAAAUUAGCCAGGUGUGGUGGCAGGUGCCUGUAAUCCUAGCUAUUCAGGAGGCUGAGGCAGGAGAAUCGCUUGAACCCGGGAGGCAGAGGUUGCAGUGAGCAGAGAUCAUGCCACUGCACUCUAGCCUAGACAACAGAGCAAGACUCCACCUCAAAAAAAAAUAGUGUUUGAUUUUGCAUGCUUUUGAACUCUUUCAUGGCAUGGUCCUUCAUGUGUUCAUUUGCAGCGUGCUUCUGCCCUCAUUAUGUUGGUACAUGUAGCUGUAGUUCAUUCAUUUUCAUAGCCAUAUAGCAAGGUUACUCAACCUCAGCGUGGUUGUGAGGGGCUACUGUGUGCAUUGUAGGACAUUCACCAGCAACCCUGGCCUCCACCCAUUUGACGGAAGUAGUACCCCUGUCCCCCACUUUAAAAACUAAAAAUAUUUUCAUACAUUGCCGAAUUGCCCUUGGCUAAGAACUACUGCUAUCUUAGAUCCAUUGCAUGCAUAUAUUACCUUUACUUUUCUCCUGUUGAAGACAUUUGUUUCUAGUUUUGUUUGUUUGUUCAUUUGAGACUCUGUCACCCAGGCCAGAGUGCAAUGGUUCAGUCAUGGCUGACUGCAGCCUUAACCUCCCAGACUCACUCAAGUGAUCCUCCUGCCUCAGCCUCCUGAGUAGCUUGGACUACAGGCUCUCACCACCUGUAAUUUUUUUUUUUUUUUUUUGAGAUGGAGUCUCACUCUGUCACCCAGGCUGGAGUGCAAUAGCACUAUCUCGGCUCACUGCAACCUCCACCUCCUGGGUUCAAGUGAUUCCCCUGCCUCAGCCUUCUGAGUAGCUGAGAUUACAGGCAUCCACCACCACGCCCAGGUAAUUUUUAGUAAAGACAGGGUUUCACCAUGUUGGUCAGGCUGGUCUCGAACUCCUGACCUCAGGUGAUCCACCCACCUUGGCCUCCCAAAAUCCUGGGAUUAAAAAUGUGAGCCACCGUGCCUGGCCUUUUUUUUUUUUUUUUUUUUUAAAGAAAGAUUGGUUCUCACUAUGUUGCCCAGGCUGAUCUUGAACUUCUGGCCUCAAGUGAUCCUCCUGCCUCAGCCUCCUAAAGUGUUGGGAUUUCAGGUGGGAGCCACCAUGCCCAGCCUAGUUUUUGGGUUGUUUUUUUUUUUUCCUAUAAGCAAUGCCCUGUGGACCUUCUUAUACGCGUGUCCCAACGCACAUGAGUAUGAACUUUGCUCACAUCUAUACCAAGACAGAGAAUGUCAGGGUCACACAGUACACACAGGUUGGCUAGACAGUGCCAAAGUGCUUUCCAAAGAGCUGGGGCUAAUUCUUACUCCUGCCAGAAGGAUAUGGGAUGUGCCUUGCCCAUCCUCGGUGAUGUCUAGGGUUGUCACUCUGGUGGGCAAAGAUGCUUGUACUUUCUUUAACCUGCUUUGUCUUUCUUGAGGCUCUGUAUUAAUUUAUUCUCACCUGCUAUGAAGAAAUACCCAACACUGGGUAAUUUACAAAGGAAAGAGGCUUGAUUGACUCACAGUUCCGCGUGGCCAGGGAAGCCUCAGGAAACUUACCAAUCACGGUGGCAGGAGAGAGAAUGAGAGCCGAGCGAUGGGGAGAGCCCCUUAGAAAACCAUCAGGUCUUGUGAGAACUCACUGACGAUGAGAGAAACUGCCCUUAUGAUUCAACUAUCUCCACCUGGUCCCGCCCUUGACACGUGGGGAUUAUUACAAUUCAAGGUGAGAUGUGGGUGGGGACACAGAGCCAAGGCUUAUCGGGCUCUCAGAGCACAAGAGAAGCCCAGGCCAAAUUUCAUACUGGAGGUGCCCCAUGUAUUGGGAAUAAAACCCAGAAGAAGAAGAGGAAACAGCAGAGCAGGUUUACUCACUUGGGAUUUAAUUGAAGUGUUUGUAUUAAUCAAAUUGAUGCUUUCACAGGUACACAAAUACAAUGUAACAUGAUUUAUGCUACUUAUAAUUACGGGGUUUACAUCAAGUGACAGAUUCCAGGCCCCAGACACAUGGUCUUUCUUUGAGCCCAGCUGUGCACUUCUGUAACUGUUGCACCACUGUGCUGGGAGUGGUGAGGCCCAGGCCCACCCGUGAUAUGGGGGUGUUUCUGUCUCCUCCCCAGUGGUGCCCUCCUGGAGGAUUAAGCUUCAUUUUUCUCUGGGACUCUCAGUGCCUGGCCCCCGGGUUGCCCUGGGGGAGUCUGCAGCUGCACCCUCUGGGUCAGGUACCUCCAGCCCCCACAGCCUCUGGACGGCUCACGUCCCAGGCCUUGGGUGCUGCCCUAGGCCUGAGGUCUACAACCUCACAAAGCCGCCCCACCUGGCCCUACCCUGCCCUGACCACUGCAGAGAUCUGAGACCAAUCUCCUCCAGUGCCUGAAUAUUUCAUGCAGUGAGGGUGGAAUGAAAGUCGCAAAGACCUUAAUUGUUAAUGUGGCUUCUGCUGGCUGCAGGCCCAGCCCUCCCAGCCCCCUCCUGUUUGAUACAACAACAGCAGUAACAGUAAUUCCUCCUGCACCCCAGGCCUUGUCGUGACCUGCCCUGGGCGAGGCUGGCCUGAAAUGAAGUUGUCUGAGGAGCCCCAGCUGGCCAGAGAGAAGUGGUGACUCAAGUAACUAUAACAACGAGACCAGGAGGCCCACUGUUCCCCAGUGACAAACUUCUUUUUGUUUUUUAGUUUUUUUUUUUAAUAAGCCUUAUAAUUUUAUUUUUGAAACUCCAUACAUGUGGUUUUUUUUAAUUAAUUUUUUUUUAGACAGAGUCUCACUCUGUCACCCAGGCUGGAGUGCAGUGGUGCCAUCUCGGCUCACCACAGCCUCGACCUCCUGGGCUCAAGCAAUUCUCACACCUCGACCUCCUGAAUAUCUGAGACUACAGGUGCAUACCCACAUCCCGCUAGUUUUUAUACUGUUUGUAGAGGCUGGUCUGGAACUCCUGGGCUCAAGUGAUCUGCCACCUCAGCCUACCCAAGUGCUGGAAUUAUAGGUGUGAGCCACGUUGCCAGGCCUGAAUGUGUUUUUAAAUUUAAAGUUCCAGGCCGGGCACAGUGGCUCAUGCCUGUAAUCCCAGCACUUUGGGAGGCCGAGGUGGGCAGAUCACUUGAGGUGAGGAGUUCGAGACCAGCCUGGCCAACAUGGUAAAAUCCCAUCUCUACUAAAAAUACAAAAAAAUUAGCCGGGCGCAGUGGUGCACACCUGUAAUCCCAGCUACUCAGGAUGCUGAGGCAGGAGAAUCACUUGAACCCAGGAGUGGGAGGUUGCAGUGAGCCGAGAUCAUGCCGUUGCACUACAGCCUGGGCGACAGAGUGAGAUUCCAUCUCAAAAAUAAAUAAAUAAAAUAAAAAUAAAAUUCCUAGCAUAGAGCCUGGGAACUCAGUAAAUGUUUGUUGAAUGAAUGAAUGAUAAAGAAGGAAGCUGAGUUAAGUUGAAAAACCCUGGAUGUAAAAUCUGUGUCUCUGGCCUGACCCUUACCAGCAAGGUGGCCUUAGGCAAAGCUGCACUCCCUCUCUGAGCCUCUGGAUCAGGACCGGAAAAUAGGACCAUUUCAUCCUCCUUGUAGGAUGAGGAGAUAGUCAAGUGACAAGAAAAGGAGGCGUGAACCCCAGGCCACACGGUGAGGCGGGAGGGGAUGCUCUCCUCGAGAAAGGGCUGAGUCCUGUGGGUGCCCCGGAGCCCAGAGUCUUCCUGAGCGUCUGAAAACUGAACUGAAGAGCCAAGCCUUCUCUCAAGAGUAGCUCGCCCAGCUCAGCCCCAACACCAGGCCACAGAACUCUGCAAUGAGGAAGCUCCAUCUCAGCACCCUGAACUCACAGAGCCCCUGUGAGCAAAUCAGAGCCCAAGAGGCAGCUAGCUGGUCAGGCUCUCGGAGCAAGGGCAGCAGGUCAGCCCUUGGGCUCUCAGCCCCAGCCACCCUUAGAAUCACCGGAAAGCAUGUGAAAUGCAGAUGCUCAGGUCCCACCCCAGACCAAGUCCAUCAGAAUCUUGGGAGACAGUGAUUUAGCAGCCAGAUCUGCUCUGAGCUACAUGAGGCACUUGUUUGUUGGCAUCAGGCUGAGCUAGGAGACACUCCCAUUGCUGUGGGGUACACCCCUCCCCAAGCAUCUGACCUUAGAGAUCUUUCUCUAACGUUAUCCAGAUUCCCCAAAUAAUCCUCAAAUGUGCUACUUCGAAUGCAUACACCUAGUGACGCUGGAGGGGACGAGGGUUUCCGGAGGCCAGGAUAGCGUUCACUUAAUGCCCUGAUUUUUUUGUCCCGUAUCUAAUGGGAUAAAAUGAAAGGAAAGAAAGUAAUAAAGAUAUAAAAUCAAAAAAUUAUCUGGGACUCAUGGACACAAGUCUCUCCAUAAAAAGGGCCAGAAGAGAAGUGGAAAAUAGACCAUACUGGGCACAUUAUUGUAAAACUUCACAACACCAGGGUUGAGAAAAUCCUCAAACCAUGGUGCGUAGAGUGCGGAGAAAAGGAAUCAGAAUGAUGUUGACAUUCUCAACAGCAAGUCCAAAAACUAGAAGGUCAUGAAGCGAUGUCUCAGCAUCCUGAAGGAAAACUAUUUUAGUACCAAUGCAGUCCAGGGGGAGGGCAGAGUGAGACAUUUUCCAAUUAAAAAAA